CGCGUACGUACGUACGCUGCGCAUCCGGUCGGUGGUUGACUCUUUUGUUUGCAUUACAAUUUACACGAGGGAAAAGCUCCAUCGCGGCACUCCUGAGCUGGACAGUGCGGAUGCGAUGCCACGCGUGACACCCAAAUUGUCUUUUUUUUUCUUUCUUCUUUUUAACCUUACUAGCUUGAAUACUUGAGCUUGAAUACUUGAUGCAAGUUGCUGGAAGGACCGAUCCAUCGAGAAACUGUUAGAACCAGAUUUGCUAUUCAUCGCCUUUCUUCACUUUAUCUUUUUUUUUAAUUCAUUUUGUUUCAUCACCCUUUGUUUUGCUAACCGACUACAAGAACGUUUUUUCCCAACUUUCUGUUUUUUCAACACAAUUCAUUUACUUUUUACUAAUUUGUUUUUUUAAGCUGAUAAUUUUUAAGAAAAUACUCCUCCGUUCGAAAAAAUACGACGUAUAACUUUUCUUGACCAACCAUAUAACAAAAUAUAACAACAUCUAUGGUGUCAAAUGUGUAAUAGGAUCGAGGUGUUGACUAGAGGGGGGGGUUGAAUAGGCAACUACAAAUUUUCACUUACUUUUACCAAUUUAGGCGCAGCGGAAAAUAGAGGUUAUCUAAAUGCAAUUAAGUGAAACAACCUAUAUGAUGCAAUACAAGCAAGCAACAAGACAAACACAAAGUAAUUAAGCUCAGGUAACCGAAGGGCUCGAAGGAGACAAGGAUUUAUCCCCAUGUUCACUUCCUUGGGAGGAAGCUAGUCACCGUUGGAGGGGUGAGGGAACCACGAGAGGUAUCCCUAAUAUCCCUGAAAAGGCACACCCAAUCUCCUUGAGCCUGCCACACCAAAGUAGGAGCUCAAUCACUAAGUGGUUGGCCUUGAGGUGGCCACCGAACCUUCACAAACUCCACGGGGCAAAUCCACAUCUAGGAGUCCCCACAACUCCAAGAGUAACAAGCACGAUGAAGAACUUGAAUAGGGACCAAAGCUUUGCUCAAAUUGAAUCUUGGGAUCUCAGUCCAACCUCUCUUCGAUCUCACAAGAUUAGGAGCUAGGGUUCUUGAGGGAGAGGGGAAAAGCUUUCCUUGGAUGGGAUCUCAAAUCUCACUCAAAACUCUCUUCUAUCCUCUCAAGAUUUGAAGGCUAGGGUUCUUGAGGAAGAGGGGAGUGUUCUUGGUGUUCUUGCUUGGGAUGCUCUGAGAAAACGUAGGCAAGUGGUCGGGGUCCUAACGGGAAGAAAUGGGGCGGAGGCCUUUAUACCCGUCACACAAAUUGCCCUUUUUUUUUUCUUUCUUCUUUUUGACCUUACUAGCUUGAAUACUUGAUGCAAGUUGCUGGAAGGACCGAUCGAUCGAGCAACGAAAAUAAAGAAAAUGUUAAGUGCGUCACUGUUAGUACCAUUAAUUUCCCAGAUUUGCUAUUCACCGCCUUUCUUCACUUUAUCUUUUUUUUUUCAAUUCAUUUUUUUUUCAUCGUCCUUUCUUUUUUUGAGGGAAAGCCAUCAUGGCGGCUUUAUUGAUUGAUAAACACACUUACAUCGUUCACAAGCAAACUAGAAAUAAAAUUGGGUGGAUCCUCAAGCCAAACAACACGCUGAGAAUCAACCGCCUGACGAGCUAAAGUGUGAGCUACCAAAUUACUCUCCCUAGGACAAUGAUUAAGACUAACAAAGCCAAAACCUCUAACAAGAAAAGAGCAUUCUUCAUAGAUCACCGCAGCAGGACCAAUGGACUUUCCGCCAUCGAGCAUCGUUUGCACCACCUCCAUGCAAUCACUAUUAAUCUCCAGUCUAUUACAACCCACCUGGCCAGCUAGCAAAAGCCCAUCACGAAGAGCUAUCGCUUCCGCGGUUGGCGCAUCUGCUACAUUCUCAAUACCAUAGCAACUACCUGCAAUGAAGGUACCCAUAUGAUCUCAUAUGACAGCCCCAGUAGCACCUGUCUCCGCAUCAGCAUUGAAAGCCGCAUCAACAUUCAAUUUAACAAAAUCAUCUUUCGGUCUCACCCAUCCGUGGCGUCUGAUUCCCGCGUUUUGGCGGCGAGCCCGAAAAUAAUUCGUAGCAAGAGCUGCAAUCGCAUGAGAAGACCUGGCAGGUUUCGCGAUUGCCUCACCUCGCACUGCUUGAUGGCGCUCCCACCAGGUAUACCAGCAAGCGGUAACAAUCAUCUCUUUUCUUCCAACGUCAGCAAAUAAAGAGCAAGGAGCAUCCGUUGACAUGAGCAGGGCCUCCAAAACUUCAGACCCUGAACGAAUAGGGACAUCCAACUCAUUGAUCAAGUCUGCCAAGCCCAAGUUUUCCCAGAUCUCCAUCACUCUCGGGCAUUUGAAAAAAGCAUGCAAAGUAUCCUCGCAAUGAAUCUUGCAUAAAGGGCAAGUACUGCUAGUUAUUAUAUGGCGAUUAGCGAGGACAAAGUUGCA
RNAcentral lists this long non-coding RNA (2412 nucleotides) under Brachypodium distachyon (stiff brome). RNAcentral's name for it is "long non-coding RNA (BDIS_LNC000414)". Lineage: Eukaryota; Viridiplantae; Streptophyta; Magnoliopsida; Poales; Poaceae. The record is from RNAcentral.